CGGGAGGUUGUUGCUGCCGGAACCACCGCAGGGUGUUGUUAGGAAAUCGCUGCUGCCCUGCUUCCGCUAUACUUAGGUUCAACAUCCAUUGGCAUGGAGCCGCUUCUGCUUUCGAUUCUAUUGAAUUUGAAAUCUUCGUUUCGUUGCAACCAUGAUC
Arachis ipaensis is the source of this 157-nucleotide non-coding RNA. The record is from RefSeq and is a predicted model, not a curated record. NCBI's taxonomy places the organism in Eukaryota, Viridiplantae, Streptophyta, Magnoliopsida, Fabales, Fabaceae.